RNAcentral lists this unclassified non-coding RNA (408 nucleotides) under fungal sp. RNAcentral's name for it is "partial internal transcribed spacer region". The stretch from base 1 to 46 matches the Rfam family "Eukaryotic small subunit ribosomal RNA", at positions 1786 to 1831 of the family's 1831-position model. Lineage: Eukaryota; Fungi. The record is from RNAcentral.
AAGUCGUAACAAGGUAUCCGUAGGUGAACCUGCGGAAGGAUCAUUAACACGUAUCCACGUAUCAACCAAUGAGAACUCGUUUUCCCCCUCCCUUUGCAAAUUAGAAUGAAUUGGAACCAGUCUGAAGGAAUGAUGUGGGCUGCGAGGCCAGCCUUCCUGGUAUACCUAUAGUCGGCGCAAGUCGGCUAUUGACAAUUGUAUCUUUUAUGCGAGGCAAAAUUUCUUUCAGCACUUUGAUCUCACAUCAUGGUCCGAGGUGCUGGAGGAGAACAACCUAUAAACCAUUUUCACCCCCUUUUUGCUAGUUGACUUUUUAUAUGUGAUCGUUUUGCGCAAGCAAUGUGGUCGCACGUUUAAUUACUUGAACGUUAAAAAAUACAACUCUUAGCAAUGGAUAUCUUGGUUCUC